GUUGUGCCCUUGAGGCGUGGCUUCCGGAGCUAACGCGUUAAGUCGACCGCCUGGGGAGUACGGCCGCAAGGUUAAAACUCAAAUGAAUUGACGGGGGCCCGCACAAGCGGUGGAGCAUGUGGUUUAAUUCGAUGCAACGCGAAGAACCUUACCUACUCUUGACAUCCACGGAAUUCGCCAGAGAUGGCUUAGUGCCUUCGGGAACCGUGAGACAGGUGCUGCAUGGCUGUCGUCAGCUCGUGUUGUGAAAUGUUGGGUUAAGUCCCGCAACGAGCGCAACCCUUAUCCUUUGUUGCCAGCGAGUCAUGUUGGGAACUCAAAGGAGACUGCCGGUGAUAAACCGGAGGAAGGUGGGGAUGACGUCAAGUCAUCAUGGCCCUUACGAGUAGGGCUACACACGUGCUACAAUGGCAUAUACAAAGAGAAGCGAACUCGCGAGAGCAAGCGGACCUCAUAAAGUAUGUCGUAGUCCGGAUUGGAGUCUGCAACUCGACUCCAUGAAGUCGGAAUCGCUAGUAAUCGUAGAUCAGAAUGCUACGGUGAAUACGUUCCCGGGCCUUGUACACACCGCCCGUCACACCAUGGGAGUGGGUUGCAAAAGAAGUAGGUAGCUUAACCUUCGGGAGGGCGCUUACCACUUUGUGAUUCAUGACUGGGGUGAAGUCGUAACAAGGUAA
Molecule: ribosomal RNA, 677 nt
Filed under: Rahnella sp.
Lineage: Bacteria; Pseudomonadati; Pseudomonadota; Gammaproteobacteria; Enterobacterales; Yersiniaceae
Description: bacterial SSU rRNA
Rfam family: Bacterial small subunit ribosomal RNA
Source: RNAcentral